UUAACUAAAAUUUGUAUGGAGUUGAAAAGUUUGCCUACGUUUGCCGCUAGGGGCGCUGUUCCAACUGCAUACAUAUGUUUAUCA
This 84-nucleotide microRNA precursor is filed under the name Bombyx mori (domestic silkworm). Its description in RNAcentral is "mir-2807 microRNA precursor family". It matches the Rfam family "mir-2807 microRNA precursor family". The record is from Rfam by way of RNAcentral. Lineage: Eukaryota; Metazoa; Arthropoda; Insecta; Lepidoptera; Bombycidae.